RNAcentral lists this ribosomal RNA (1395 nucleotides) under Adrothrips sp. TH125. RNAcentral's name for it is "eukaryotic LSU rRNA". It matches the Rfam family "Eukaryotic large subunit ribosomal RNA", at positions 750 to 1861 of the family's 3401-position model. Lineage: Eukaryota; Metazoa; Arthropoda; Insecta; Thysanoptera; Phlaeothripidae. The record is from RNAcentral.
UCGCCCCCGCGGCCUCCGCCGUCCGGCUCGCCCGCAGUCCCGGGGCACCUCAUGCGGCACUGGACCUCCUCGCGGGGUCCUGUGUCGAGGCGCACCUGCGAGCGUAUGUGUUGUUACCCGAAAGAUGGUGAACUAUGCCUGGCCAGGACGAAGCCAGGGGAAACCCUGGUGGAAGUCCGUAGCGAUUCUGACGUGCAAAUCGAUCGUCGGAGCUGGGUAUAGGGGCGAAAGACUAAUCGAACCAUCUAGUAGCUGGUUCCCUCCGAAGUUUCCCUCAGGAUAGCUGGCGCUCGGAUGAGUUUCAUCCGGUAAAGCGAAUGAUUAGAGGCCUUGGGGCCGAAACGACCUCAACCUAUUCUCAAACUUUAAAUGGGUGAGACCCCCGGCUUGCUUGAUCCCGGGCGUGUCGCGUUUCCUCGCUCUUCCCCGAGAGGGGACGGGGCCGGCGCGCCCGAACUCUGCUAAUGAAGCCGGGGCUCACGAAUCGAGAGUGCCAAGUGGGCCAAUUUUGGUAAGCAGAACUGGCGCUGUGGGAUGAACCAAACGCAGAGUUAAAGCGCCUAAAUCGACGCUCAUGGGAUACCAUGAAAGGUGUUGGUUGCUUAAGACAGCAGGACGGUGGCCAUGGAAGUCGGAAUCCGCUAAGGAGUGUGUAACAACUCACCUGCCGAAGCAACUAGCCCUUAAAAUGGAUGGCGCUGAAGCGUCGUGCUUAUACUCUGCCGCCGGCGGCAAAAGCGGCCGGUAAGGCGGACGGUCCCUCCCGAAAGGGGGCGAAACCGGCCCCGAGCCUUGAGGCCCCGGUGAGUAGGAGGGUCGCUCGGGUGUGCGCAGAAGGGUCUGGGCGUGAGCCUGCCUGGAGCCGCCCGAGGUGCAGAUCUUGGUGGUAGUAGCAAAUACUCCAGAGAGGGCCCUGGAGGGCUGAUGCGGAGAAGGGGUUCCGGGUGAAACAGCUGUUGCCCACGGGUCAGUCGAUCCYUAAGCCCUAGGAGAAAAUCCUACGUGCGAUGUGCGGGUGUAUACAACCAAAACUCCCGUCGCCGGGCGAAAGGGAAUCAGGUUCCUAUUCCUGAACCCAGAUGCGGUACCGUUCUACCGGGCUUGUCUCGAAGCGUGUCCUCCCCGCCGGCUCGUCCGCGCGGCGGCAGGGCGCGUCUGAGGGCGAACUCGUCGGGGUAACCCGAACAGCCGCGGAGAAGCCGGCAGGAGCCCCCGGGAGAGUUGUCUUUUCUGUAUUACCGCGCAAGUUCCCUGGAAUUCCAUUGCGGAGAGAGAGGGAAUAGCGCGGGAAGAGCACCGCACUUGCGGCGGUGUCGGGGGUGGCCUCUCGGACCAUGAAAAUCCGCGUGAGGGCUACGGAGAACAACCGAUCUGGCUCGUACCCAUAUCCGCAGC